UAAUACGGGGGGUGCAAGCGUUGUUCGGAAUUAUUGGGCGUAAAGCGCGUGUAGGCGGUCUGAUUAGUCUGAUGUGAAAGCCCUGGGCUCAACCCAGGAAGUGCAUUGGAUACUGUCAGACUUGAAUACGGGAGAGGGUAGUGGAAUUCCUAGUGUAGGAGUGAAAUCCGUAGAUAUUAGGAGGAACACCGGUGGCGAAGGCGGCUACCUGGACCGAUAUUGACGCUGAGACGCGAAAGCGUGGGUAGCAAACAGGAUUAGAUACCCUGGUAGUCCACGCCGUAAACGAUGAGUACUAGGUGUUGCGGGUAUUGACCCCUGCAGUGCCGCAGCUAACGCAUUAAGUACUCCGCCUGGGAAGUACGGUCGCAAGACU
This 376-nucleotide ribosomal RNA is filed under the name uncultured bacterium. Its description in RNAcentral is "bacterial SSU rRNA". It matches the Rfam family "Bacterial small subunit ribosomal RNA", at positions 521 to 895 of the family's 1533-position model. The record is from RNAcentral.